This is a long non-coding RNA of Lathyrus oleraceus (garden pea), 1182 nucleotides long. RefSeq lists it as uncharacterized. The record is from RefSeq and is a predicted model, not a curated record. The transcript has 2 exons. NCBI's taxonomy places the organism in Eukaryota, Viridiplantae, Streptophyta, Magnoliopsida, Fabales, Fabaceae.
CCUAAUCCUCUAACUACGCUAAUUACAAUCCUAAUUAACCUAAUUAUAUACUAAUUGAAAACCAAACAAACAGUUAGAACUCAACACAAAAUUCAUCUUCUUCACACGGUUUCGUGACAACGAGAGUGGAACAAGCCACGACGAAGACCAAGCUGCGCCGCUCCGUCGCCGGCAACGACGAUCUUGAACGACGAUGUCGUCGCUCCACCUCCUCCAAUCUUAAUCAAGAACGACUCAUCCAUCAAUACGGAACAGAAGCUAAUGCGAUUCGGUCCUUACCGGUGCCGGUGUCGAAUCUUUCGCUGGAUUUUCGAUCGAUUCUUCGUCCUCCCCUCUGCUUCUGUUCGUUUUGCCGUGGAUUGAAGAUUUGGUUUCGCGGUUCGAUGAAGAUUGGUGCGGUUUGUUGUGAUUUCGCGUGGUGACGGUUGAAGGUUCGGUUAACGGAGAUUACGGUUACGGUUACGGUUACAGAUUCGCAAUGGUUGAAGGUUUGGCCAAUGGAGAUUACGGUUACGGUUGUAAGAAGGUUUUGGUUAGAGAUGCGAUGAGGUUGAAGAAGAAGAAUCUGGAAGAGGAAUUUGAGAGAGGGAAGAAGAAUCUGGAAGAAGCUUGAGAGAGGUGAAGAUUGGUUUAUAUAGAGUGAUGGAGAGGUUAUUGUUGUGCUGUAAUGCAGAAUUUUGUUCAUGACUGGCUCACGUUUGGAGCUUGGUUAACGGCGUCGGCAUUGGCUUGCUAAGCUUGUGCGUACUAGCUGCGUUUUGCUUGUUGUUGUACCGGCUUGGCUCAUGCUUUUCGUUUGCUGCUUUGUGAAGCUUGGAGCAGCUUUUUGCUUGGUGAAGCUUGUCAUUGCAUCUUGGAUUUGUACGCUUGCGUUUAGAUAGCAUGAAGUGUGUGUUUGGAGCUGGCUUCUGCAUUUGGAUAGCAGCUCGUGUGCAAUUGGAUUGUUGCUGUACUUUAUUUAUUACUUUUCCAUUUGGCUGUCGUCAUUUUUCUGCUACUGUCCUGCGAUUUGAAGCUUCACUUCCUUUUGAUUUUACUGUUAGCUUAUUUCAUUGCUGUUUCUAUCUUUUUCUUAGCUUUUUAUUUUUCUUAUUUGGACAAUGUUAAUGUAUGGAUUGGAUUUUGUGGUAAUUGUAUCAACAAUGGGUAAUUGGUAUGAAUUAAUUGGAUUUGGUUUAAAAA